AGAGAAUGAUUUUCAGAAAUUACAAAUAGGAGAUUUCAUUGUUCUACGAAAAUGAAACUAGUAUAUCAAAACUUGAAAUGUUUGGGUGGAAAAUAAGAAGAGGUAAAAAAAGAAAUGGGAAGCGCGCUUUUUCCAGAUCUGAGCCGCGACGGUUUACAUAGAACAGCCGCAAUGUCCUAGAAUUCAAAUAGCGACGACUGUUUCAAGGAACCGCCGCUAUCAUUCCGCCGUUAUUUUCAAAUUAUCUUGUAGUGGAAGACAAUAUACCAAGUUCAAUCCCUACUUGAACCUUGACCUAGACAUUAAUCUCUACUUGCAUUGAACUACAUUAGGCUUUUUAGGUAAUUUCACAAGUUGUAUCAUAGCAUCUUCAGCUCUUAGAGUGUACAUUUUCAUCAUCAUGAAGAUUCACUUGUCCCACAAGUUGUACAAUACAUUCUUCAAUCCAUA
Molecule: long non-coding RNA, 450 nt
Filed under: Trifolium pratense (red clover)
Lineage: Eukaryota; Viridiplantae; Streptophyta; Magnoliopsida; Fabales; Fabaceae
Description: long non-coding RNA (TPRA_LNC009862)
Source: RNAcentral